Molecule: long non-coding RNA, 892 nt
Organism: Bos taurus (domestic cattle)
Lineage: Eukaryota; Metazoa; Chordata; Mammalia; Artiodactyla; Bovidae
Source: Ensembl
GCUCCCCGGGGGUCACUUCCCACCUUAACUACUCGUGCGUGCACAUGCGCAUGCGCAAAAACGUGCACACGCACGCGCUCGCGCGCGCGCACACAGACGCACGGGGUGAAUGGCGUGGUUUGGUACACCAAUGGUGCUUGCGAGGAGUGAGUUUUAUAUUCGUUGGACGACAUCUGGGUCUUCCUACGUGAGGAUUGUGGAAUUACACUCAAGUAUCACGAGACGUAGACAAGGCUGGGAUGAAGCUACAUGAACCCACGGUGGUUUCCUCAACAUUGGAUGCAUGCAUGCUCCGUUGCUCAGUCAUGUCCAACUCUGCAACCCCAUGGACUGUAGCACGCCAGGCUCCUCUGUCCAUGGGAUUUCCCAGGCAAGAAUACUGGAGUGGAUUGCCAUUUCCUUCUCCAAAGGAUCUUCCUGAGCCAGGGAUUGAACCCAUGGCUCCUGAAUUGCAGGUGGAUUCUUUACGGAGGAACCCCUCAAUAAAUAGUAACUGGAUGUAUGAAGAAAACUCGUAUGUUUGAAUGCAUUUAUUCUACUGUAAAUGUACUUCUUUAACUUCUUAAUUGCUUUCCCCCCUCAAGGAAUAGAAAUCUGCAAAACUACAUAAAACACACAUUUCCCAGAGCAAAUUUUUUAUUAAUGAUGUGUAAUUGAACAAGAAACUUGGUCUACACAGCCUAAGUUAUUCCCAGGUUUUAAUUGGAGUAAACACAUUCCUCAAAGCAAUAAUCUCUUAAGCAUCAGAAUGAAAAGAGGCCAAAGUAUGAAUGUAUGCGGAACAAUAAAACAAAUGUUUAAAACUGAGACAUAUCAAUCCCAUAGCUAGGCAACACUUUCAAAGAUUUUUAAUUCUUAAAAACCAACAACAGAAUAACAGUUAGUUUUAGGC